UGGAGCUCAUCCUUCCGCCGCCGCUCACGGUUCUCCUCGAUCAACUUCCGCUUGGCGAGCCGCUUGCUGUCGUCCAGCACCACUGGGAGGGAGAGGUGGAGGUGUAGAGGAUGGGAGGGAGUGGUGGAGGUGUAGAGGAUGGGAGGGAGAGGUGGAGGUGUAGAGGAUGGGAGGGAGAGGUGGAGGUGUAGAGGAUGGGAGGGAGAGGUGGAGGUGUAGAGGAUGGGAGGGAGAGGUGGAGGUGUAGAGGAUGGGAGGGAGAGGUGGAGGUGUAGAGGAUGGGAGGGAGAGGUGGAGGUGUAGAGGAUGGGAGGGAGAGGUGGAGGUGUAGAGGAUGGGAGGGAGAGGUGGAGGUGUAGAGGAUGGGAGGGAGAGGUGGAGGUGUAGAGGAUGGGAGGGAGAGGUGGAGGUGUAGAGGAUGGGAGGGAGAGGUGGAGGUGUAGAGGAUGGGAGGGAGAGGUGGAGGUGUAGAGGAUGGGAGGGAGAGGUGGAGGUGUAGAGGAUGGGAGGGAGAGGUGGAGGUGUAGAGGAUGGGAGGGAGUGGUGGAGGUGUAGAGGAUGGGAGGGAGUGGUGGAGGUGUAGAGGAUGGGAGGGAGAGGUGGAGGUGUAGAGGAUGGGAGGGAGAGGUGGAGGUGUAGAGGAUGGGAGGGAGAGGUGGAGGUGUAGAGGAUGGGAGGGAGAGGUGGAGGUGUAGAGGAUGGGAGGGAGAGGUGGAGGUGUAGAGGAUGGGAGGGAGAGGUGGAGGUGUAGAGGAUGGGAGGGAGAGGUGGAGGUGUAGAGGAUGGGAGGGAGAGGUGGAGGUGUAGAGGAUGGGAGGGAGAGGUGGAGGUGUAGAGGAUGGGAGGGAGUGGUGGAGGUGUAGAGGAUGGGAGGGAGUGGUGGAGGUGUAGAGGAUGGGAGGGAGAGGUGGAGGUGUAGAGGAUGGGAGGGAGUGGUGGAGGUGUAGAGGAUGGGAGGGAGUGGUGGAGGUGUAGAGGAUGGGAGGGAGAGGUGGAGGUGUAGAGGAUGGGAGGGAGAGGUGGAGGUGUAGAGGAUGGGAGGGAGUGGUAGAGGUGUAGAGGAUGGGAGGGAGGGGUGGAGGUGUAGAGGAUGGGAGGGAGUGGUGGAGGUGUAGAGGAUGGGAGGUAGUGGUAGAGGUGUAGAGGAUGGGAGGGAGUGGUGGAGGUGUAGAGGAUGGGAGGGAGUGGUGGAAGUGUAGAGGAUGGGAGGGAGAGGUGGAGGUGUAGAGGAUGGGAGGGAGUGGUAGAGGUGUAGAGGAUGGGAGGGAGAGGUGGAGGUGUAGAGGAUGGGAGGGAGUGGUGGAGGUGUAGAGGAUGGGAGGGAGAGGUGGAGGUGUAGAGGAUGGGAGGGAGUGGUGGAGGUGUAGAGGAUGGGAGGGAGUGGUGGAGGUGUAGAGGAUGGGAGGGAGUGGUGGAGGUGUAGAGGAUGGGAGGGAGAGGUGGAGGUGUAGAGGAUGGGAGGGAGUGGUGGAGGUGUAGAGGAUGGGAGGGAGUGGUGGAGGUGUAGAGGAUGGGAGGGGGUGGAGGAGGAGGAGGUGUUAGGGAUUAGGGGGAAGGGUGAAGUGGUAGGGCGAGAGAGGGUCAAAGAAGGAAGCAAGGAGUCACGAACGGCAAGGGGAUUGAGAGGGAGGGGAUCAAGCGCACAAAGAAGCAAGUCUAAGUCUAAGUAUUUUAAGAACUGCCACUGCUAUUUUAAGAAAUUAAAUGUUCUAUUGUUCUGAAGUAUGGCUCCAUACAAUUUACAAUACAAACAAUAUACAAUUCAAAACAUAUGCACUCUGCCUCUGAUAUUUACACUGAUAUUUACACUGAUAACAUCCAUCAUUAAAAACAUGAUCUGUCAAUAGAUAAAUAAUAAUACAAAUCUGAUAACAGAAGUAAAAACAGAGAAAGCAUGAUAGAAAUUGCACAAUAAAACAAGAAUGAAGAAGAGUAUUUGUAAAGAGUAAUGAAUGAGGCAGUCUAUUCCUGUUAUGAGGAGUCAUGACAUUCGUUCUCCUCAUCUCUGUACUCUGAAAUAGGUAGGUUAAGCAGCUCUCCGUGAUGAGCCACCUCGCAGGCCAAGCAUGAUUAUCAAGUUCCGUUAACAGAUCUCUCAGGUAGAUUGGAGCAUAUUUAUUGAGACACAUUUUUAGAGCAAUCAGAACUAGUGCUAGUUAAUUUGUUAAAUCUGUUUUUUCCCCUGUUGCCAUAGUGGUGGUAGUGAAUGUCCUCUCAAUUAAAUAUGAACACUACAUUAUUAUAAUUGUAUUUUACAUCUCACUCUAGAAGAAGGAACAUUCUCUCUAAAGGUAUUCUGGGGAACUAAACUAAGCAGAAUAC
Long non-coding RNA from Oncorhynchus keta (chum salmon), 2322 nucleotides. RefSeq lists it as uncharacterized. The record is from RefSeq and is a predicted model, not a curated record. The transcript is spliced from 7 exons. NCBI's taxonomy places the organism in Eukaryota, Metazoa, Chordata, Actinopteri, Salmoniformes, Salmonidae.